Paenisporosarcina sp. HGH0030 is the source of this 133-nucleotide regulatory RNA element. It matches the Rfam family "FMN riboswitch aptamer (RFN element)". From Rfam's summary of the family: The RFN element is a highly conserved domain that is found frequently in the 5'-untranslated regions of prokaryotic mRNAs that encode for flavin mononucleotide (FMN) biosynthesis and transport proteins. This element is a metabolite-dependent riboswitch that directly binds FMN in the absence of proteins. Lineage: Bacteria; Bacillati; Bacillota; Bacilli; Caryophanales; Caryophanaceae. The record is from Rfam.
AUUCAUCUUCGGGGCAGGGUGAAAUUCCCGAUCGGCGGUAAUAGAAGAACGUUUUCUUAAGCCCGCGAGCCGUAAGGCAGGAUUUGGUGUGAUUCCAAAGCCGACAGUAUAGUCUGGAUGGGAGAAGGUGAAG